Molecule: transfer RNA, 83 nt
Filed under: Actinomycetota bacterium
Lineage: Bacteria; Bacillati; Actinomycetota
Description: tRNA-Tyr
Rfam family: tRNA
About the family: Transfer RNA (tRNA) molecules are approximately 80 nucleotides in length.
Source: RNAcentral
GGCGGGAUGCCCGAGCGGCCAAAGGGAGCGGUCUGUAAAAUCGCCGGCGUAUGCCUUCACAGGUUCGAAUCCUGUUCCCGCCA